This 238-nucleotide ribosomal RNA is filed under the name uncultured bacterium. RNAcentral describes it as "partial 16S ribosomal RNA". It matches the Rfam family "Bacterial small subunit ribosomal RNA", at positions 96 to 334 of the family's 1533-position model. The record is from RNAcentral.
UGGCGGACGGGUGAGUAACGCGUGGGUAACCUGCCUCAUACAGGGGGAUAACAGUUAGAAAUGACUGCUAAUACCGCAUAAGACCACGGAGCCGCAUGGCUCAGUGGGAAAAACUCCGGUGGUAUGAGAUGGACCCGCGUCUGAUUAGGUAGUUGGUGGGGUAACGGCCUACCAAGCCGACGAUCAGUAGCCGACCUGAGAGGGUGACCGGCCACAUUGGGACUGAGACACGGCCCAG